This is a long non-coding RNA of Lingula anatina, 2649 nucleotides long. The record is from RefSeq and is a predicted model, not a curated record. Lineage: Eukaryota; Metazoa; Brachiopoda; Lingulata; Lingulida; Lingulidae.
CCGGAAGUCUUGGGAUUGAAAGCGACAGUUGGGCGGGGUUUUCAAGAGAGAGAGAGAGAGAGAGAGAGAGAGAGAGAGAGAGAGAGAGAGAGAGAGGGGGCUGCAGAGACAAAAGGUAGAGGGUAGACAAAGGAAUCUUGUGAUCCUAGUGUUAUAAGUGUUAUACAGUAGAUCUGGAUUCCUGGAAACAUCUGAGCUCACACAAACAGUUUACAUAACUGUUGGUGUACAGUGUCAUGUGUCUCUGUAGUGGCCUGCUUGAUGUGGUCAGUUUGGGAUGAUGUUAUAUCUAAUACAUGGCUGUCGAUUGGUCGCGUCUUGACCGAGGCCACCACCUGGUGGAUGAGAUGGUAAUGGGAACAAGUAUGAAAGAAGCACAUGGAUGAAGGUGGAUUGCUUGACUGGGGCCACCACCUGGUGGAUGACGUGGUUAUGGGAACGAGUAUGAAAGAAGCACAUAGCAAGUGAGACCCACGACUUCUAUAACAGAUGAUAUGUAUUUGACCCAAGGUGGAGCAGUGGUCAUAACCCACCCUCACCCAUCACCAUGCCAAAAAUGCUUCCUUGCAGCUCCAGUCUCCAUACAGCAUGGUGUCUUCUAGGUGAACAGACUUUACCUGGCUGGACAUGGGGGACAUUCAUUGUUAAUAUAAAAUAGACAGGAAAUAACAGCUGCAGGAAUAUCCCUUCAUCCACAGAGUUGUGCAAGACACAGCAAGUUUCAGGAUGAAUGGGUUGUGAAGAGCCAGAGACAGGACAGCCAUGGUAAACAGGGAACUGGACUUCUUGCAGUUCAUGUGUGCAUGGUUUGACAGUUGUUGUACAUUGUGAAGCGUCUUCAUAGUGGCCUGUUUGAUGUGGUCAGUAUGAGAUGAAAUGUAUUGGACCCAAAGUGGAGAAGUGGUCAAUACUUCCCUGGGAUGACCCAUUGCCAUCACAGUAACUGGACUGCUUGCAGCUCCAGUCUCCAUGCAGUUUGUCUUCUAGGUGAACUAACCUUACCUGGCUGAACAUGGAGGGAAUGUAUUUUAUAAGAAGCAGACAUAAAAAGGCAGCAACAGGAACAUCUUCAUCUCACCCAUUUGUGCAAGACACAGGAUGUGGCAAGUUUUAGGAUGAAUGAACAGCCAGAGACAGGACAGCCAUUUAUAUGGAACAGUACAAUUGUACAACAAAUGUGGGUUCCAGGUAACACAAAGAAUCCAUUUCCCCCAUAUGCAUGGAAACUAUAGAGGCAGGGUAUAUAAAGCAAGGAGAUUGUGUUAGACAAUACUCUAUCACUGAAGACAAAUAGACACAAUGGAAAUGUUUAAAAGUGAAUUGCUAUUUCAGCUCAGUUGUGAUGUGUUUUAAUAAUUUCCCCAUAUGCAUGGAAAUCGUUACAGUACUAGUAGAGGUAGCAUAUACAGUAAGAUUGUGGUAGACAAUAAGCCAUCACUGAACAGAAAAAGAUGUCAUUGAAAAUGUGUUAAUGUGUAUGCACAUAUUUCAGUGCAGAUAUGAUCUCUGUUAUUGUGAGGACAUUAAGUUGCAAUUGCAAGUUUUAUGACAUAUUUAUUAUAUACAGACACUUUCAGUCUGUCUAUAUUCUGAUCACUGUCUGUCCAGUGUCAUUGCCAUAGUCAGCACUUUGUGACACAUCUGUUGUUUACCCUUUAACUGAUAAACUGUAUUUUUGUUUUAACUUUAAUUCCUCUAGAAAAUCAGCAUGAUUAGAUUUUUUUAUAUUGUUUUGUUAUCUUUAGCAGUUUGGAUAAGAUACUACAGUAUGUCCUGAGUGUAUCAAAUUGAAGAAGAAAAUGUAGAUAUGUUUGUGUAUUUUUGUCUUACUUUGUUUCUGAUAUUUAUUUUGAUUACUAAAUAGUAUUUUUGUGAAUUUAUGAAAUUUUUGUAAGUUCAUUGUUAAAUGGUGAAUGACAGCAGUCAGAAGGUUCACUGGUCUGAUAGUUUGAUGAUGCCAACAUCCAAUGGUUCAAAAGGUUCAGUAGUCAGAAGGUUCAUUGGUCUGAUAGUUUGGUGAUCCAAAUGUCCAGCUGUUCCAAAGGUUUGCUAGUCUAAAGGUUCACUUGCCUGAGGUUUCAUUGGUUCAAUGGUUGUAAAGUCUGAGAAUAAGAAUUGUGUAUGGUGUAAUAUGAUGAGGGCUUUUAUGAUUUUAAUAGUAUACAUCGACCUGGGUGGAUAAAAUGACAAUAUAAAUGCAAUUUUAAAUGAGUAUGUUAUUAACCAAUUACAAUUACUAAAGACAAUUGUUUAACCCAAGUUACUGUUACUACAACUCAAUUGCCCAGAGGUGCAGCACUGUCUUUUAGUUCACUUCUAGCUAAAGGAAAGAAGAGAAACUUAGCCAAUGCAAUGAGGGUUUCUUCUUCUUGGAAAUUAAUAAUGAUAGCAAACUUUUCAUCAGUUGUUCUGAGGUCAAAAUGGAGUUUCAGAAAGGAGUUUCAUGAUAACUGUACUCCAUGAAAGGUUAUCAUCUUUAAGAUUUGACAAGCUUUUUGUUGAGAGUAAUUUGUAAUAGUGAAAUUCAUCUAGGUAUGCUUGUUUAAGUAGGUUGUUAUCAUCCAAGCAUAAUAUUUUAAGUGAAAAUUUUAUUGAUUGUAUUUUAAUCUUUAUGUGAGCAGGAUUUCUUCCAGUCUCUCAUCUUACUGC